RNAcentral lists this ribosomal RNA (263 nucleotides) under uncultured bacterium. Its description in RNAcentral is "partial 16S ribosomal RNA". It matches the Rfam family "Bacterial small subunit ribosomal RNA", at positions 793 to 1055 of the family's 1533-position model. The record is from RNAcentral.
GUCAACGCCCUAAACGAUGGCAACUGGGUGUUGGGGAGCGAUUCCUCAGUACCGUAGCUAACGCGUGAAGUUGCCCGCCUGGGGAGUACGGCCGCAAGGUUAAAACUCAAAGGAAUUGACGGGGACCCGCACAAGCGGUGGAUGAUGUGGAUUAAUUCGAUGCAACGCGAACAACCUUACCUACCCUUGACAUGUCCGGAACCCCAUUGAGAGGUGGGGGUGCCCGAAAGGGAAUAGGAACACAGGUGCUGCAUGGCUGUCGU